Molecule: ribosomal RNA, 408 nt
Filed under: uncultured bacterium
Lineage: Bacteria
Description: partial 16S ribosomal RNA
Rfam family: Bacterial small subunit ribosomal RNA
Source: RNAcentral
GACGAACGCUGGCGGCGUUCUUAACACAUGCAAGUCGAACGAAGUGGCGAACGGGUGAGUAACGCGUAAUCAACCUGCCCUUCAGAGGGGGACAACAGUUGGAAACGACUGCUAAUACCGCAUACUGAAGGAGGGGAUUGCGUCUGAUUGGCAAGUGGGAGGGGUGACGGCCCACCAAGGCGAUGAGCAGUAGCCGGUCUGAGAGGAUGAACGGCCAAAUUGGGACUGAUACCCGGCCCAGACGCCUACGGGAGGCAGCAGUGGGGAAUCGUCCGCAAUGGACGAAAGUCUGACGGAGCAACGCGCCGUGAGUGAUGACGGCCUUCGGGUUGUAAAGCUCUGUUAAUCGGGACGCGGUACCGGAAUAGAAAGCCACGGCUAACUACGUGCCAGCAGCCGCGGUAAUUC